Molecule: ribosomal RNA, 254 nt
Filed under: uncultured bacterium
Lineage: Bacteria
Description: partial 16S ribosomal RNA
Rfam family: Bacterial small subunit ribosomal RNA
Source: RNAcentral
UACGGGGGGGGGCAAGCGUUGUUCGGACUUCCUGGGCGUAAAGGGCUCGUAGGCGGCCAACUAAGUCCGACGUGAAAUCCCCAGGCUCAACCUGGGAACUGCGUCUGAUACUGGAUGGCUUGAAUCCGGGAGAGGGAUGCAGAAUUCCAGGUGUAGCGGUGAAAUGCGUAGAUAUCUGGAGGAAUACCGGUGGCGAAGGCGGCAUCCUGGACCGGCAUUGACGCUGAGGAGCGAAAGCCAGGGGAGCAAACGGG